UACGGAGGGUGCGAGCGUUGUCCGGAAUCAUUGGGCGUAAAGGACGCGUAGGUGGCCCGGUCAGUCUUUGGUGAAAGCGCGGGGCUCAACCCUGCGUCGGCCAGGGAUACUGCCGCGGCUCGAGCACUGUAGAGGCAGGCGGAAUUCCGGGUGUAGCGGUGGAAUGCGUAGAGAUCCGGAAGAACACCGGUGGCGAAGGCGGCCUGCUGGGCAGUUUAGCUGACACUGAGGCGCGACAGCGUGGGGAGCAAACAGG
RNAcentral lists this ribosomal RNA (256 nucleotides) under uncultured bacterium. RNAcentral describes it as "partial 16S ribosomal RNA". It matches the Rfam family "Bacterial small subunit ribosomal RNA", at positions 524 to 776 of the family's 1533-position model. The record is from RNAcentral.